RNAcentral lists this long non-coding RNA (784 nucleotides) under Manacus vitellinus (golden-collared manakin). RNAcentral's name for it is "lncRNA (ENSMVIG00005005173.1)". Lineage: Eukaryota; Metazoa; Chordata; Aves; Passeriformes; Pipridae. The record is from RNAcentral.
AAUGGUAACAUCAUCACCUUAUGGAGUUUUCAACAUCCUGAGUUAGAGCAGCAAUGACUGACUCCUGAACAAGACCCAGUGAGCUCCUGACCAAACACGGCAGAGGGAAAGCUGUCCUUGUCACCUUAACUUCCCACUAUAACCCAGGGUGUGACCAGACCCCCAGAAAUCUCAAUAAGUUCAUGAAUGCAUAAAACAAGUGACCUGAUAUUCAACAGAGAUUUUACCCAGGGAGCAGGAUGGAUUGAAAGCAUCACAUGUUGCUGAGGCUGUGCCACUCUGCUCAUACCUAAACAAAAGCAAGUUAAACCGGGAUCAUCCAUUUUCUCUGGUGAGCCAAGCAGCACCUUCCUGGCACAUUUACAGGCAGCCAGAUGAGCCUGAAGAGGUCUCGGCUGCUGGAGCUGGCUGGAGCAGUUGAUCGGCUUACCUACUGUCCUGCCAGGAUCAGGGCUUGAAUGAGGGCAAGCUGGCUGUGACCCAACCCAGAUAAGUCUAAGGGUGUGCUGACAGGCUAGGGAAGAGAGGGAGCUGGGAGAACUUCUGCUCUCUGUGACAAUUGCUUGCUUUUUAUUGUUCAGAUUUUCAGACCCGGGGAUCUCAGUGUACUGGCUUCUGCCCAUCAAUUAAUUAUGAAAAGAAUGAAAGAUGGUCUGUUUGCUUUUUUGGGGCUGCUUUUCUGGAUCAGAACACUCUUCUGAACAUGGGUCUUUCGAGUCAUCUUUCCAAGUCAUCUAGACAGUGCACUUCAAAAAUCUAGGCUACUCUCAUCACUGUGCCUGAC